AUGCACAUGAAGCAGAUCUUCUAGCUUUUCGAGGGAAAAAUUAGGUCUGUGUCAUGUGCAUUUGACUAGUAGUGUUAAGCCAGUUUUAAUUAUGUUUUUGUUCUUCUAUUUUCAAC
Long non-coding RNA from Haliotis rubra (blacklip abalone), 116 nucleotides. RefSeq lists it as uncharacterized. The transcript is spliced from 3 exons. The record is from RefSeq and is a predicted model, not a curated record. Lineage: Eukaryota; Metazoa; Mollusca; Gastropoda; Lepetellida; Haliotidae.